This 784-nucleotide ribosomal RNA is filed under the name Pseudarthrobacter polychromogenes. RNAcentral describes it as "bacterial SSU rRNA". It matches the Rfam family "Bacterial small subunit ribosomal RNA", at positions 82 to 877 of the family's 1533-position model. The record is from RNAcentral. Lineage: Bacteria; Bacillati; Actinomycetota; Actinomycetes; Micrococcales; Micrococcaceae.
UGCUGGGGGAUUAGUGGCGAACGGGUGAGUAACACGUGAGUAACCUGCCCUUGACUCUGGGAUAAGCCUGGGAAACUGGGUCUAAUACCGGAUACGACCAUCUGGCGCAUGUCAUGGUGGUGGAAAGCUUUUGUGGUUUUGGAUGGACUCGCGGCCUAUCAGCUUGUUGGUGGGGUAAUGGCCUACCAAGGCGACGACGGGUAGCCGGCCUGAGAGGGUGACCGGCCACACUGGGACUGAGACACGGCCCAGACUCCUACGGGAGGCAGCAGUGGGGAAUAUUGCACAAUGGGCGCAAGCCUGAUGCAGCGACGCCGCGUGAGGGAUGACGGCCUUCGGGUUGUAAACCUCUUUCAGUAGGGAAGAAGCGAAAGUGACGGUACCUGCAGAAGAAGCGCCGGCUAACUACGUGCCAGCAGCCGCGGUAAUACGUAGGGCGCAAGCGUUAUCCGGAAUUAUUGGGCGUAAAGAGCUCGUAGGCGGUUUGUCGCGUCUGCUGUGAAAGACCGGGGCUCAACUCCGGUUCUGCAGUGGGUACGGGCAGACUAGAGUGCAGUAGGGGAGACUGGAAUUCCUGGUGUAGCGGUGAAAUGCGCAGAUAUCAGGAGGAACACCGAUGGCGAAGGCAGGUCUCUGGGCUGUAACUGACGCUGAGGAGCGAAAGCAUGGGGAGCGAACAGGAUUAGAUACCCUGGUAGUCCAUGCCGUAAACGUUGGGCACUAGGUGUGGGGGACAUUCCACGUUUUCCGCGCCGUAGCUAACGCAUUAAGUGCCCCGCCUGGG